CGAGAAAACUGCGAUAAAAAAGUUUUAGGAAAGUUUUCCCCUCUUGCGCUGGUGUGCAGUCUGGACGCAGAUUGGAAAUCGAGGAGUCGCUUGUGCGCGCGGCGAGAUCUCAGAGUCAGGACUGCGCGUGCACGCGGCCUACCCCAUUCAUGCUGUGUGACCAAAGCUGAGAAAGCCAGUGGCCAAUGAGAACCUGCGAAGGGGUUCUGGGGUCCGUUGAUUGUGGAUAUGAGAGAGUGGACCGGUGUUAUACUCAAUAGAAAACAAAAGGUGCAAUCACUGGAGUCCCAACAUUAUGAAGAUGAUGAUGGUAAAGAUGAAGGUUGCACUAGGAACA
Molecule: long non-coding RNA, 337 nt
Organism: Onychostoma macrolepis
Lineage: Eukaryota; Metazoa; Chordata; Actinopteri; Cypriniformes; Cyprinidae
Exons: 3
Source: RefSeq, a predicted model, not a curated record